RNAcentral lists this ribosomal RNA (803 nucleotides) under uncultured bacterium. RNAcentral describes it as "bacterial SSU rRNA". It matches the Rfam family "Bacterial small subunit ribosomal RNA", at positions 1 to 804 of the family's 1533-position model. The record is from RNAcentral.
GAAUUCGCCCUUAGAGUUUGAUCCUGGCUCAGGACUAACGCUGGCGGCGUGCCUAAUACACGCAAGUCGAACGGUCGUGCGUUUGUAGCAAUAUGGACGUACGAUAGUGGCGAACGGGUGAGUAACACGUGGAAAACCUACCCUCGAGCGGGGGAUAACUCCGGGAAACUGGGGCUAAUACCGCAUGACAUCCCAACCUGGCAUCGGGAGGGGAUCAAAGCCGAAAGGCACUUGAGGAUGGUUCCGCGGCCUAUCAGCUAGUUGGCGGGGUAACGGCCCACCAAGGCGACGACGGGUAGCCGGCCUGAGAGGGCGAUCGGCCACAAGGGGACUGAGACACGGCCCCUACUCCUACGGGAGGCAGCAGUAGGGAAUUUUGCUCAAUGGGGGAAACCCUGAAGCAGCGACGCCGCGUGGGCGACGAAAUCCUUCGGGAUGUAAAGCCCUUUUAACCGGGACGAAAUACAUGACGGUACCGGUGGAAUAAGCCUCGGCUAACUCCGUGCCAGCAGCCGCGGUAAGACGGGGGAGGCAAGCGUUGUCCGGAAUCACUGGGUGUAAAGGGCGUGUAGGCGGGCCGGCUAGUCGGUUGUUAAAUCUCUCCGCUCAACGGAGAAGCUGCGGCCGAUACUUCCGGUCUUGAGUGCGGCAGGGGAGGAUGGAAUUCCUGGUGUAGCGGUGAAAUGCGUAGAUAUCAGGAGGAACACCGGUGGCGAAGGCGGUCCUCUGGGCCUGCACUGACGCUGAGUGCGCGAAAGCUGGGGUAGCAAACAGAAUUAGAUACUCUGGUAGUCCCAGCCCUA